RNAcentral lists this ribosomal RNA (207 nucleotides) under uncultured Lachnospiraceae bacterium. RNAcentral describes it as "partial 16S ribosomal RNA". It matches the Rfam family "Bacterial small subunit ribosomal RNA", at positions 568 to 774 of the family's 1533-position model. Lineage: Bacteria; Bacillati; Bacillota; Clostridia; Lachnospirales; Lachnospiraceae. The record is from RNAcentral.
AGCGUAGACGGUUUGGCAAGUCUGAUGUGAAAGCCCGGGGCUCAACCCCGGGACUGCAUUGGAAACUGUUGAACUAGAGUGCAGGAGAGGUAAGUGGAAUUCCUAGUGUAGCGGUGAAAUGCGUAGAUAUUAGGAGGAACACCAGUGGCGAAGGCGGCUUACUGGACUGUAACUGACGUUGAGGCUCGAAAGCGUGGGGAGCAAACA